AGUGAACGCUGGCGGUAGGCCUAACACAUGCAAGUCGAACGGCAGCACAGUAAGAGCUUGCUCUUACGGGUGGCGAGUGGCGGACGGGUGAGGAAUACAUCGGAAUCUACUUUUUCGUGGGGGAUAACGUAGGGAAACUUACGCUAAUACAGCAUACGACCUACGGGUGAAAGCAGGGGAUCUUCGGACCUUGCGCGAUUGAAUGAGCCGAUGUCGGAUUAGCUAGUUGGCGGGGUAAAGGCCCACCAAGGCGACGAUCCGUAGCUGGUCUGAGAGGAUGAUCAGCCACACUGGAACUGAGACACGGUCCAGACGACUACGGGAGGCAGCAGUGGGGAAUAUUGGACAAUGGGCGCAAGCCUGAUCCAGCCAUACCGCGUGUGUGAAGAAGGCCUUCGGGUUGUAAAGCCCUUUUGUUGGGAAAGAAAAGCAGCAGGUUAAUACCCCGCUGUUCUGACGGUACCCAAAGAAUAAGCACCGGCUAACUUCGUG
This 492-nucleotide ribosomal RNA is filed under the name uncultured bacterium. Its description in RNAcentral is "partial 16S ribosomal RNA". It matches the Rfam family "Bacterial small subunit ribosomal RNA", at positions 29 to 507 of the family's 1533-position model. The record is from RNAcentral.